Molecule: non-coding RNA, 1610 nt
Organism: Miniopterus natalensis
Lineage: Eukaryota; Metazoa; Chordata; Mammalia; Chiroptera; Miniopteridae
Source: RefSeq, a predicted model, not a curated record
AAUUAUUUUGUAUGCUGUGCUGUAUUCAGAGGUCUGCCCGCGUCACACCUCCAGAUGCUGUAUUUAUCGUCCCCGUCUCUCCGGUGCUUUUCCUCCCCAGGAGCCGCAGGAUUGCGGGUCCACGUGAAUCUUCCCAUAGAACCAUCCGCUUUGGACCGACACAGCCUUCGCCUCCCAGGCUGAAGAACCUGGGAAUGGAGCUAAAGAUGAGCCAGUUUUUGAAGGCUGCACCCUGCCAGGUCUUGCUGUAAACAGGUUCUACCAACUCCCUGUUGCAGCAAGUGAGGAGAGGAAAUUCAGCUUUCCAGAAAUCAAAGUUACCUUUCAGACCGACUCCAAGAACCAAAGCCACCAAGACCAAAGGCACCGAGCCAGCCAGAAGCAGCCCUGGCUCCCAUCAUGAGCUGACUUGUACUAAUUCUAGAAUUUACCGGCAGUCCAAUAUAAUGGGGUGUAUCUCUCCCCAAAAGCAGUUUGGACCCUUUUCUCUGAAAGAAAGAAAGGAGAAGUGGCUUUUUUCAAAAAACAUCUGCCUCCUAGCACCUGCCAUAGAAAUCUUACUGAUCAUGCAAGUCUUAGUCCUAGCAGCUCACAUCCAUGCAGCAUUUACUGAUUUCUUCAGCUGAUAUUAGUCUCUGCCCUCAACACCUGGACAGCACUAAACACCUUCCCUGAGAUAUCAACCUUCUAUGGCAAGUUGCAUUAUCGAUAUUUUUUUCUUUUCUCAUAUGUUUACCAUAUUGAAAUGUAAGUUUUUCAUCCAAGGUGUAGGCUAUAGUAUUUUUCCUUGAAUCUAUACUGUAUAAAAAGAUGCAUUCUAACUGUCUGUGGGAUGAAUGAAUGCCUGAAAUUAAUUUUAUGUAACACGUAAAACUGCAAAUCAAGUUGAAACAACUGACUCCUGUUCAUAUAUUCAUUUACAUGACAUAAACACUGUGUAGCAGACUGAUUUUUUCUAAGGUGUCUAAACCAACUAGUAUAUAUUACAACCCACAUGCUUUCCUUAAAAUGUUGACAAAUAGGCUGAGAAUUCCCCCACUGAAAAGUGGGGUUUAUGUUGUCUCGCCUUAAACCUGGGCAAAUCUUUGUAAUUGCUUCAGCUAAAAAUAAUGUUGUGGAUGUGACCCUUGUGUCUUCUGGAACUAGGUCACAAGAAGGUGACACAGUUUCUUCUUGGCUUUCCAUCUUGGGAGUCAGAACUUAAAGGCCCAGAACUGAUAUAUAAGGAGUCUGGCUGACCUGGACCCUCCAGGCUGGAGCUACCACAUAAAGGAGCAGUUCUCAGAACAAGAAGAAAUUGUGUCCAGCCUCUGGAUAAAACGAACAUGGGCUGGACCUUACCAAUAUCCUCUGCACCCCUGAGAGCUGGGUGCAGACUGAAUGCUCACACACGUGAGAACUCGCAGAGUGCAAGAAUGGGGAGAACAGGAGCCUCUAUCAGCCUCUCAGUGAUGUUAUACCCACCACCCACAUCUGGAACACCUUGCUGAGGCAGGAGGAAAGAACUAGGUUUGGAAUCAUAAAGAACUGGAUUUCAAGUCAGUGUUUUGUUACAUACUGUAUCACCUCACACAGGUCACUCAACCUUUCAGAGCUUCAGCCCAUCAGAA